CCUACGGGAGGCAGCAGUAGGGAAUAUUGCUCAAUGGGGGAAACCCUGAAGCAGCAACGCCGCGUGGAGGAUGAAGAUUUUCGGAUUGUAAACUCCUUUUGUUAGAGAAGAUAAUGACGGUAUCUAACGAAUAAGCACCGGCUAACUCCGUGCCAGCAGCCGCGGUAAUACGGAGGGUGCAAGCGUUACUCGGAAUCACUGGGCGUAAAGAGCGCGUAGGCGGGAUAGCAAGUCAGAUGUGAAAUCCUAUGGCUUAACCAUAGAACUGCAUUUGAAACUGGUAUUCUAGAGUAUGGGAGAGGUAGGUGGAAUGCUUGGUGUAGGGGUAAAAUCCGUAGAGAUCAAGAGGAAUACUCAUUGCGAAGGCGACCUGCUGGAACAUUACUGACGCUGAUGCACGAAAGCGUGGGGAGCAAACAGGAUUAGAUACCCCUGUAGUC
This 440-nucleotide ribosomal RNA is filed under the name uncultured bacterium. RNAcentral's name for it is "partial 16S ribosomal RNA". It matches the Rfam family "Bacterial small subunit ribosomal RNA", at positions 338 to 795 of the family's 1533-position model. The record is from RNAcentral.